Molecule: small nucleolar RNA, 76 nt
Organism: Bison bison bison
Lineage: Eukaryota; Metazoa; Chordata; Mammalia; Artiodactyla; Bovidae
Source: Ensembl
UGGAUCUAUGAUGAUUUCUGGUCAUCAUCAAUAUGAAUCAUAUACAAUGAAAGCGUGUCUGGAACUAGAGGUCCAA